RNAcentral lists this ribosomal RNA (250 nucleotides) under uncultured bacterium. Its description in RNAcentral is "partial 16S ribosomal RNA". It matches the Rfam family "Bacterial small subunit ribosomal RNA", at positions 524 to 773 of the family's 1533-position model. The record is from RNAcentral.
UACGAAGGGGGCGAGCGUUGUUCGGAUUUACUGGGCGUAAAGGGCGCGCAGGCGGCUUGACAAGUCAGGCGUGAAAGCCCCGGGCUUAACCUGGGAACUGCGUCUGGGACUGUUGGGCUAGAGUUCGGGAGAGGAGAGUGGAAUUCCCAGUGUAGAGGUGAAAUUCGUAGAUAUUGGGAAGAACACCGGUGGCGAAGGCGGCUCUCUGGACCGAGACUGACGCUGAGGCGCGAAAGCGUGGGGAGCAAAC